Molecule: ribosomal RNA, 640 nt
Filed under: uncultured archaeon
Lineage: Archaea
Description: bacterial SSU rRNA
Rfam family: Archaeal small subunit ribosomal RNA
Source: RNAcentral
AUGGUAGAGACGCGGCGUACGGCUCAGUAACACGUGGCUAACCUACCCUUAGGACGGGGACAACCCCGGGAAACUGGGGCUAAUACCGAUAGGUGAGGAGGCAUGGAAUGGUUCCUAGUCGAAAAGGCGUUGAAACCAUGCUUUUCGACGUCGCCUAAGGAUGGGGCCGCGCCCGAUCAGGUUGUUGGUGGGGUAACGGCUCACCAAGCCUAUAACCGGUACGGGCCGUGAGAGCGGGAGCCCGGAGAUGGGCACUGAGACAAGGGCCCAGGCCCUACGGGGCGCAGCAGUCGCGAAAACUCCGCAAUGCGCGAAAGCGUGACGGGGCUACCCCGAGUGCCGUCCGCUGAGGAUGGCUUUUCCCCGGUGUAAUGAGCCGGGGGAAUAAGGAGAGGGCAAGUCUGGUGUCAGCCGCCGCGGUAAUACCAGCUCUCCGAGUGGUAGGGAUGAUUAUUGGGCUUAAAGCGUCCGUAGCCGGCUUAGCAAGUCUCCUGUUAAAUUCAGCGACCUAAUCGUUGAGCCGCGGGAGACACUACUAGGCUAGGAGGCGGGAGAGGCCAACGGUAUUCUCGGGGUAGGGGUGAAAUCCUAUAAUCCCGGGAGGACCACCAGUGGCGAAGGCUGUCGGCUAGAACGCGCU